This 451-nucleotide ribosomal RNA is filed under the name uncultured bacterium. RNAcentral describes it as "bacterial SSU rRNA". It matches the Rfam family "Bacterial small subunit ribosomal RNA", at positions 1 to 456 of the family's 1533-position model. The record is from RNAcentral.
UAGAGUUUGAUCCUGGCUCAGAACGAACGCUGGCGGCGUGCUUAACACAUGCUAGUCGAGUGCGCGCCUGUAGCAAUACAGGUGGCGCACGGCGCACGGGUGCGUAACACGUGGGUAAUCUGCCCUCUGAUGGGGAAUAACUCGCCGAAAGGCGAGCUAAUUCCGCAUAAUAUUCCGAGAACCUCGGUUUUUGGACUGAAAGGCGUAAGUCGUCGGAGGAGGAGCCCGCGCACGAUUAGCUAGUUGGUAGGGUAAUGGCCUACCAAGGCUUUGAUCGUUAGCUGGUCUGAGAGGAUGGCCAGCCACACUGGAACUGAGACACGGUCCAGACUCCUACGGGAGGCAGCAGUGGGGAAUCUUGCACAAUGGGCGAAAGCCUGAUGCAGCGACGCCGCGUGGGGGAUGAAGCUUCUCGGAGUGUAAACCCCUUUCGAUCCGGACGAAUGCCCGC